This is a long non-coding RNA of Alligator sinensis (Chinese alligator), 2629 nucleotides long. RefSeq lists it as uncharacterized. The record is from RefSeq and is a predicted model, not a curated record. NCBI's taxonomy places the organism in Eukaryota, Metazoa, Chordata, Crocodylia, Alligatoridae. The transcript is spliced from 2 exons.
CAACAGAAAAAGUAACAUGAGGAUAAAAUCAAAGUUGACAUCAGUUCUAAAUGCUGGGGCUCUUCCUCCCCCCCCCACCUUCCCUUUUUCUUUUCUUUUCUUUCUUGUUUUUGUUUUUUGUUCCUGUUUGGAAAAUACCUGGCAUGUUCUGGAUGGUACCAGAAAUCUGAACCCAUGAGCCUGAAGACAUUAUCCUAUUUGGGUCUCUAAAAUCCUAUGUUUUAAAACUUACUUGGAUCUGUCUCAGGAUUUCUAUUCACCUGGAGCUUGCAGAAUUCAAAACCACUUCUGUGGAACUAAGAUGGAGUUUGAUGGGUUUUGCAAGUAAUUACGGGGGGGAAAUAGAUGGAUGAAUUAAGCUCUGAAAAGUUUCAAGUAUACCUAUGGGCAAAAUGCAAGGUUCCUAUCCCAGAUAUUAGAAGCUUAUAAUGGAAAUAUGAAGAGUUGACGUAGUAGUGUAGAGCUUGUUACCUGCCCGUAAUGUUCUGAAUAUCUUCUUUGCGUGCUUCAAAAUGGCAACAACAACAGGUUAUGCUAUACUAUCAAUAUAGUACCAUUGUUCUGUUUGGCAACCACCAAGCUGUAGAACCAGAACAAGGAAUCUAAAACAUUAAAGGUAUCUGAAUUGACCUUGACUGCUUUUCUAAAAGCAUGCCACAAAAAUCAAUGCAAGAGAUUUACUCUGACUCUAAUGGAACAAGUCCAGCACCUUCAAAUAAUUCUGCAGCAAGUUCCACUUCAUUGCCAGCCAUCACAAAUUCACUGAACAAUAAUACCACUCCCCCAGGACAUGGAAAUUGCCUUCAGUCAACCACAAGUCUCCUCAUCGUCUCAAUUUCUCUUCUGCACCUCUGCUGCUGAAAGACUCUGGCUGGAAAACAAUGACUACUCCUCACCCAAGUCCCUGAAUCAUUGGUGAUGGCUACAGAUCUUCAAAGCCUGCAUGAAAACAUCAAAUUUGACUUGGUUCCAUUCCCUGCAUUAAAUCAGUAUCAAUCUGAUCUAGAGAAUUGUGCAAAAGUUGCUGAUGUUCCAACACUGACUGAUGUGAAAAGGAUAUGACCACCUUCAGCCAGAGGAAAAAUGAUGAGCUCCAGAGCAUAGCCAGCUGGAAUCUGUAUACAAGAUGGAAGCAAAGAGAUGAUGCUUCCAUUCCCUGAUCUUUUAAAAAUGAGAAGAUAUGAAAACGCCAUGUAGUAGGUGUGGGUGACAGAUUCAGCCAAAUUAAAAAAAAAACCCGCAACUUCAUAGAGCUUUUUAUUUUGAAUUUUAAAUACAAAAGUUGCAAAGCUCACAAAACCACUAAAGAAUAAAAACAGCUUACAUGAUCCUGUUUACUUAUCUACAGUAGUAAGGAAAGUAUUCAAGAGAAACAGAUAAAUAUUAAUAACCCCAACAAGGAAUCCUUUUAGUUUGCAUUGUACGCAUUUGCCAUGAGGAUAAAAGAAUUGCAAAUGUUGUAAAACAAUAUCCUCUCAUUAAAUUCCAGCAAUCUUAAUUGAAUGCCUAUAUAGUCCGGAAUAGUUUAAAAGUACUUAGAAAUCAUUGGGGGGGAGGGUUAGUUUUAAGAGUUGAAUUAUUAACUAUGGGGAGGUAGCAAGUUCCAGGAGGAGGAUGAAUUGGGGCUGUGGAGAAGUUACCAGGAGCAUUUUGUUAACACUCCCAUACAAUAGUCUUGGGAGAAGCAUUCCCUUUAAAUUCUAUGAAUGUUUUCAUUCCUUCUUUGGCUCCCUUCUCUUUCUGGCCCCUGCCCCCCCCUUCCCCAUACCUCUUUUUCUUCCUAGAACCAGCUUUUAAUGCUGAAAUAUCUGUGGGAUCUUUGAGUAAUUUUAAAUGCUGCUUUCUGGUACAAACUGAAAACUAUUUUUGUUUUCAAGACUUAACUAUUGUGAUUUUAAAGUAAAAGGCUAGCUAAUAUUUGGGAGGAUGGGAGGAAGAAGCUUUGAAAGCCAAAAAUACAAAACAAUAUAAUUGGGUGUGCUUUGGAAACAUGAAGACUGGAAUCUAAUUGAAUCAUUCAGUUAUAAAAAAUUUUAUAUUGCUUCUGUAAAUACAUUUUUUAAAAUGUUAUGAAUCCAAAGUGAUACUUUCACAACUUGUUUCUGUAUUAUCACAUCUUUUGGAUAAGAGUGCCAUACUCAAACUAAAGCAAGCUUAAUUGAGGGAGGAAAAAACAAACUACAUUGAUGCUAAAAUCUGUUAAAAGCAAGUCAAUAGUGUAAAUGUGAUCACAUGAUUAUUCAUAUUGCCCACAAUGAAAGCUUAUCAGCCCUUUAUGAGCCUUCAUUACUUUCAAACAAUUAACAUCUUACUUGACAGUUACCUUGACUACGUACCCAGACAUGCAAACAGUAGUGGCAAAAUAGUGUAAAUUACUGUCAUUGAGUGUGUAUGGACAUCUCCUUAUGCCUAUAUUUUGUAUCAGUUCACUGUAAUGAUUGUAUUUUUUGUGUCUGUAAUUAUGCUUUGAUUAAGUAUUGGACAUGAAUUGUAAAUAAAAGGAGCAGGGACUGCACUUCAGCCACACUUCCAGAAAAUUCUUCUCAAAAACCUUGUAACUCACCUGCACAAUAUAAAUAAACUGGCCAAGCAAGACCAUAUAUGUGAUUAAAAACUUCAAAGGUCUAGA